AUGAUGAAAAAAAAAAAUAAUUCUUAUAAUAAUGACACAAAAGUUAAAUUAAUGUAUGAAUUAUAUUCUGCACAUUUAACUGACAAGGAAGGAUUUACCUUAACAAGUCAAAAAGUACCAUAUAAAAAAAUUAGCUCUGCUAACAAUAAUGGCUACAAGUUCAUAAAUACAAAAUACGUCGUAAUUCAAUCCAAAAUAAAAACAAUGCAUCAAAAUAAACUGCAUGAUGAUUUUGAAAAUAAUUAUUAUAGAUUAAUUCAAAUUGAUAAACUAGAAGAUAAAACUCGAGAGCUAUUUUCAAAAAUGACAGUACAAGACACAUUUAUAUCUUCUUUGUACAACGAUUUUUAUAGCGACGAAACAGUGCCUAUAGAUUCUAUUUUGGAAAUAAAAAUAAAAAUAUAUCAAGCAUUAGAUAAUGUUGAAGAUGUUGAAAAAGUAUAUAAAUAUAAUUUAAUUAAUUACAUUGACAAUUUUAUUUUAUAUAAACCUUCAUCCACAUAGAUAGUUAAAGCGAUGCAAAUUGAUUAUAUAAUUUAACAGCAAAAUAGAAUGAAUGUGUAUUUAUAUACAUAAUAAAAUAAAGUGAUAUUUUGUUGUUGUUCUAGAU
This 610-nucleotide long non-coding RNA is filed under the name Piliocolobus tephrosceles (Ugandan red Colobus). Its description in RNAcentral is "lncRNA (ENSPTEG00000023324.1)". The record is from RNAcentral. Lineage: Eukaryota; Metazoa; Chordata; Mammalia; Primates; Cercopithecidae.